AGGACAAAAAUAUUAUUUGCUUAACAGCUAUGUCAAAUAUAAUUUACUAAAAGAGAACACAGAGUGCUUUGCCGAUAAAAUAAUGUCUUUUGUCGUCAGUGAUCAUCCGUAAUCGUGUUGCGAAAAAGGUAAAGCGUCCGCAAUCCUGUUUCACCCACGGUCACUUAUCGCGCAAGAGAAUUUCAUCGGAAGUAUCGCGGCGUAAUACCGGGCGAUCCGUUUAAGUGAAAACCACUCGUUAUAAUAUUAUCUCGGAAGUUUUGAAGUCUCUUCAACAGACAUUUUUUCACGGUUUAAAAAACGAGCAACGCUAAACGAUUGCCCCGCCGUUAUAUUCUGUCGACAAUAUUUGUUGUCGUUUUUAAUUCGAGGGCGAAACGAUUACCUACUUUUGAUUUCCAUACAUGACAACUUAUGCGGAAAAAAAAAAAAAAAAGGCCAUGAAUUUAAUUUGGAGUACAUGUUAAAAUAUAAAUGCAAACUCUGGCGUUGACGCUUUCGAUUUCCGU
Cinara cedri is the source of this 509-nucleotide non-coding RNA. The record is from the annotation of a GenBank genome assembly. Lineage: Eukaryota; Metazoa; Arthropoda; Insecta; Hemiptera; Aphididae.